AACGAACGCUGGCGGCAUGCCUAACACAUGCAAGUCGAACGAGACCUUCGGGUCUAGUGGCGCACGGGGGCGUAACGCGUGGGAACCUGCCCUUAGGUUCGGAAUAACUCCCCGAAAGGGGUGCUAAUACCGGUUAAUGUCUUCGGACCAAAGAUUUAUCGCCUUUGGAUGGGCCCGCGUUGGAUUAGCUAGUUGGUAGGGUAAUAGCCUAGCAAGGCGACGAUGCAUGGCUGGUCUGAGAGGAUGAUCAGCCACACUGGGACUGAGACACGGCCCAGACUGCGACGGGAGGCAGCAGUGGGGAAUAUUGGACAAUGGGCCAUAGCGUGAUCCAGCAAUGCCGGGUGAGUGAUGCAGGCCUUAGGGUUGUAAAGCUCUUUUUCCCGGGGUGAGAAUGACAGUACCGGGAGAAUAAGCACCGGCUAACUACGUG
RNAcentral lists this ribosomal RNA (433 nucleotides) under uncultured bacterium. RNAcentral's name for it is "partial 16S ribosomal RNA". It matches the Rfam family "Bacterial small subunit ribosomal RNA", at positions 29 to 507 of the family's 1533-position model. The record is from RNAcentral.